RNAcentral lists this ribosomal RNA (492 nucleotides) under uncultured bacterium. Its description in RNAcentral is "partial 16S ribosomal RNA". It matches the Rfam family "Bacterial small subunit ribosomal RNA", at positions 29 to 507 of the family's 1533-position model. The record is from RNAcentral.
AGUGAACGCUGGCGGUAGGCCUAACACAUGCAAGUCGAACGGCAGCACAGUAAGAGCUUGCUCUUACGGGUGGCGAGUGGCGGACGGGUGAGGAAUACAUCGGAAUCUACUUUUUCGUGGGGGAUAACGUAGGGAAACUUACGCUAAUACCGCAUACGACCUACGGGUGAAGGCAGGGGAUCUUCGGACCUUGCGCGAUUGAAUGAGCCGAUGUCGGAUUAGCUAGUUGGCGGGGUAAAGGCCCACCAAGGCGACGAUCCGUAGCUGGUCUGAGAGGAUGAUCAGCCACACUGGAACUGAGACACGGUCCAGACUCCUACGGGAGGCAGCAGUGGGGAAUAUUGGACAAUGGGCGCAAGCUUGAUCCAGCCAUACCGCGUGGGUGAAGAAGGCCUUCGGGUUGUAAAGCCCUUUUGUUGGGAAAGAAAAGCAGCAGGUUAAUACCCCGCUGUUCUGACGGUACCCAAAGAAUAAGCACCGGCUAACUUCGUG